RNAcentral lists this ribosomal RNA (637 nucleotides) under archaeon enrichment culture DGGE band 1523rope 2. RNAcentral's name for it is "bacterial SSU rRNA". It matches the Rfam family "Archaeal small subunit ribosomal RNA", at positions 244 to 882 of the family's 1478-position model. The record is from RNAcentral.
ACGGCCCACCAAACCUUUGACCGGUACGGGCUUUGAGAGAAGGAGCCCGGAGAUGGACACUGAGACAAGGGUCCAGGCCCUAUGGGGCCCAGCAGGCGCGAAACCUCCACAAUGGGCGAAAGCCUGAUGGGGUCAUUCCGAGUGCCAUCCGCUAAGGAUGGCUUUUCCCAAGUCUAAACCGCUUGGGGAAUAAGGGGAGGGCAAGUCUUGUGUCAGCCCCCGCGGUAAUUCCAACUCCCCGAGUGGUUGGGGCGGUUAUUGGGCCUAAAGCAUCCGUAGCCGGCCCUGUCCGUUUUCCGUUAAAUNUAACGGCCCAACCGUUAGGCUGCGGAGGAUACCACAGGGCUAGGGGGCGGGAGAGGUGGACGGUACUCCAAGGGUAGGGGUAAAAUCCUCUGAUCCUUGGAAGACCACCGGUGGCGAAGGCGGUCCACCAGAACGCGCCCGACGGUGAGGGAUGAAAGCUGGGGGAGCNAACCGGAUUAGAUACCCGGGUAGUCCCAGCCGUAAACGAUGCGAGCUAGGUGACAGAAUGGCCUAAGAGCCAUUCUGCUGCCGCAGGGAAGCCGUUAAGCUCGCCGCCUGGGGAGUACGGACGCAAGUCUGAAACUUAAAGGAAUUGGCGGGGGAGUCAACU